GAUGAACGCUAGCGGCAGGCUUAAUACAUGCAAGUCGAGGGGCAUCAAGGUACACGAAAGUGUAUUGUUGGCGACCGGCGGACGGGUGAGUAAUAGGUAGGUAACCUACCUCAUACUGAGGCAUAGCUGGGAGAAAUUCCAGGUAAUUCCUCAUGAGGUUAUAUGACACAUGUGAUAUAAUCAAAGGUAUCGCAGGGUACUGGUAUGAGAUGGGCUUACUGACCAUUAGCCAGUUGGUGAGAUAAGAGCUCACCAAGGCGAAGAUGGUUAGGGGUUUUGAGAGAGAGAUCCCCCAAUUGGAACUGAGAUACGGUCCAGACUCCUACGGGAGGCAGCAGUAGGGAAUAUUGGGCAAUGGGCGGAAGCCUGACCCAGCCAUGCCGCGUGAAGGAAGACGGCCUUAUGGGUUGUAAACUUCUUUACUAUGCGACUAACUAGAUUUACGAGAUAAUUCUAUAGAAUGUAGCAUAGACAAAAGCACGGA
Molecule: ribosomal RNA, 484 nt
Filed under: uncultured bacterium
Lineage: Bacteria
Description: bacterial SSU rRNA
Rfam family: Bacterial small subunit ribosomal RNA
Source: RNAcentral